UAACUGCCGGAGGUGCGUGACGGCGCAUGUGACGCUAUCUCUGGAGAUCUUCACUGGGGUUUUGUCGUCGAUGAUUGAAGAACCUUGUGGUGGUGUUGUAAUUUGCACAAACCCCACUGAAAAUCAGAUUGACGUAAGCAACUGCUUUAGUCACUGGAAAAUUGCACGGUGACGACUGAAUUCUUCUUGGAUGUCGUUGGAAUGACACACAAUGAUAAUUAUAUCACUGAUGCUCUUGUACCAUGUGAGAAAGCACUUGAGAAAAUAAUAUUAUUAAUUACUUAAUUAAAGUGUCGUCCAACCCUAUUUAUAUACCGUGAGUACAUAAUAAUAUUUAUCUACUUCCCGAUGUGGGACACUUAUACACGACUAACUACUUGAACAAAUACUAGUAGCAAUACUGGUAAGAAUGACAACAUGGUUUGUUAGAG
This 431-nucleotide long non-coding RNA is filed under the name Nicotiana benthamiana. Its description in RNAcentral is "long non-coding RNA (NBEN_LNC013475)". The record is from RNAcentral. Lineage: Eukaryota; Viridiplantae; Streptophyta; Magnoliopsida; Solanales; Solanaceae.